This 366-nucleotide ribosomal RNA is filed under the name uncultured organism. RNAcentral describes it as "bacterial SSU rRNA". It matches the Rfam family "Bacterial small subunit ribosomal RNA", at positions 527 to 896 of the family's 1533-position model. The record is from RNAcentral.
GGAGGGUGCAAGCGUUAUCCGGAUUCACUGGGUUAAAGGGUGCGUAGGCGGGCAGGUAAGUCCGUGGUGAAAUCUCUGAGCUUAACUCAGAAACUGCCAUGGAUACUAUUUGUCUUGAAUAUUGUGGAGGUAAGCGGAAUAUGUCAUGUAGCGGUGAAAUGCUUAGAUAUGACAUAGAACACCAAUUGCGAAGGCAGCUUACUACACAGUUAUUGACGCUGAGGCACGAAAGCGUGGGGAUCAAACAGGAUUAGAUACCCUGGUAGUCCACGCCCUAAACGAUGAUUACUCGACAUCAGCGAUACACUGUUGGUGUCUGAGCGAAAGCAUUAAGUAAUCCACCUGGGAAGUACGAUCGCAAGAUUG